UACUCGAUUGAUUCGCCGUCGAUGUAGACGACGCCUUUUUUACAUCUAUUAUUUCUAAAUCAUCGUGCACCCGUGAUUAUACGUGAAUAAGAAUAAAGAAUAGUGGAAUCGGGGAAUACGUAUCGUAGUGAUUUUCCUCCAACUAUUCGAUCGAUUGUACGAUCGUAAAAAUUGUUCAUAAAAACACGGAAGAUUUAUCCGAUCGGUGUGUGGCUCGUCUCGUGAACACGUUCCACGAGAAGGGUUAAAGAAAGCUCGCUGGGAUGGCGUAGAUGGGAGAAGGGGGAAUAAAGCAAGAGGCGGUGGAAGCAACGGAUAGAGGUGGAGGUGAAGGCGGACAAGGUGGUGAAGAGAGAGCGAGCGUGAGAGGAAGAUAGCGAUAGAGCGAUAGAGUGAGAGGGAGGGAAAGAGAGAUGAGCGAACGAACGAGCGCGUAACUAGGUGCAUCAUGAAUAAUACGCGCAGCUCGUGAACAAGUGCACGCUCGUACGAUUUGUGCGUUCGUGGAUGCGUGAGGGUGUAGAACCGUGUACGUACGGGUUUAUUAUACACAUACGUACAUGCAUAUAUUCGCGUACAUAUAAAUAUAAUCGAACGCACCCAGAUAUCUAUUUAUAAGUUUAAACACAGGGCGAGAAGAAGGAGUGGUGGGAAUCUGUAGCGGAUGCUCGGUCACUGGUAGCCUGUACCGUGUGCCGCGCGCCUUCUCCUAGUGAUCUUCUAUCGCAAGUGUAAUAAUCCCACGGUGAUGCUUGUUAUUCGUGCGUGGACGUUAUUCGUACCGCGUUAACCGGAUCGAAUUCGAUUCGAGAAAAAUUUUAUUUUCCGCGCUUCGAUGGAAACGACGAUUAAGAGCAAAGGAAUUGGAUCGAGUUUUACCGCGUGAAAAAUCAAACGUGAAUCUUUGAAAGUGUGAAUCUUUCUUCGUCGAAUGGUGUGGAAUCCUCUGAGAGUGAGAAACGUCCGUAAGAAAGGAGAAAAGGAAUAAAUAAGCGGAGGGGAGGGGGAAGGGAGGAGAAGGAGAGAAGUAUAGAGAGUAAGAAGUAGCGGACGGCGAAGGAAAGGGACUCGAGUGGAACAAGUGUUGGCAUUGAGGAAUCGUGGUUGCCGCGAGUGCGUCAACGCGGAUAUGACGAGAGGAUACGCCCGAUUCUCGUGAUACGCGACGUAAUCGUUACCGAUCUCUCGCAAGAUAUGCGUUUUCCAUCCAAAUUUUUCUCUUCGCGUUUAAAUUCACGUUCAGAUUCUGGACGCACGUGCACACCGAAGAAUUAUAGCAUGUAUACAUAUAUCGUUUCAAACUUACCGCCUUCUUCGUGCCAACAAAACGGACAUAUUGGUUAUAGAGCGUGUAUAGUGUAAUCGCGAUUCGAUCGAGAUUUUUCAAUUCGUUCGACGUUCAUAAACAAUUUACAUUACACAAACGCUCGACGUUUACGACCGACAGUUUGACAGAUCUGUAUAUAAGAGUUUGUCUUCUUCUACUUUUUCUCGUGAUUAUAUUUUUCGUGCGUUUUUUUUUUUCCAUCAAUUUUUGAUUUUCGAAAACAGUUCGUGUCGACGAGUUGUGUACGCCGGCCACGAAUUGAUUAAUAGAAAAUCGAUAGGAAAAAUUUGUAAAAAAGUCUCGGUAUAUGUCUGUCGUUAAUUAGAAAAGGGCAGUGAUGCUCCAAUUCUCGUAAAAGCUUCUCGAUCGUUAAUUUGAGUUAAAAAGGACAAUACCUAAAUGCCAUUAAAAGGGCAUCGUCGUGUUCUUCCUUUCAGAAUCACCACCCCGAGUAUCGUCGUUAACGAUCCUUCUCCUUCGUGAAACGAUGACCUUUCUAGGGAAAUUUGUUUCCCUAGAAAAAUUUCAAAAUUGGCAUCGAUACGAUCUUAAUCCGAAAAAAAAAAGGAAACGGAUGUUCCGUGGACAUUUUUUAACUUUCAUAUUCGAACACGUGUCGUAAAAAUUUCCAUCGUAUUCCUUAUUAUUCCGCUCGUAAUACACGACGCAAUAUCGAUUUGCUUCAUUUUUACUCUAUUCUCCCGUUUUACUUCGAUCGUUCGAGAAGUUGGCGUACCACGAGUCUCGAUGGAUAAGGAAGUUUCCCGAAGAAGAAACUCGAGUCAAGUUUGGAUGUCAAUCCGAUCACCACGGUUCAAAAUCGGGAACUAAUCCGAAGGAAAUUCGGGUCGAUGUGUAACCGGGUUCUACGUUGGAUUCCCAUUCGACAUUCCAAGGCAUUCCGCCAGGAACGUUGCCUUCCUUUCCCAAGCGUAGAUUAGUUGAACAGACGUCAUCGCGUCUUGAAUUCCGUUCCCUGCUCGUCACUCGCGAUCUUUUCGUACGAACCGAAAAGCAUUUCUUUUUACGCCUCUCUCUCUCUCUCUCUCACUCUCACUCCGCGCGAGAAAUUUUCGCAGAGAACAAAAUGUACGUCCGCGGUGGAUAUUUAAUUAUCGCACACCACGCCUCGAUGAUUAUAAAAAGGCGUAUAAUACGUAAAAAAAGGAUGGCACGUAUUCGAGGAAACUAUUAUCCACGAAAUUAUUAUUGCUUUGUGCCGUGGCUUCCCUCGUUAACGAUCGUGCGACAGUCUCGACCAUUAGCCAUUACAACUUAUUGACAUCGUAAAACAUCGAUAAAACGAUCGUUUCGCUUUACUUGUUACCAAACGACAUUGUUACGAAUGCCUCGUGACGCAUGAGAACGUAACGAGAAGUUGCGUGACAAUUUUAUCUGGAAAAAAAAGGAAAAAAGGAUACACAGUUUCUCCUAGGGUUGAUAAUAAUUCGUGAUCGAACAGAUAACAGAUAACGAAUUAUCAAUAUUAUCCACGAAUACGUAUUGGCGCAUAAUUUCAAAAUGAUUUUAACGAAAGUUUUUCACGAACGAACAGAGUUAACGCGUGUAUAUAUAGGUAGACGUGUAAUAAUUACCGAUCCGACUAAAUACGACCGUCGAUAAAGCAGAUCGAUGAAGGAUAAAACAGAGAAGAUUCUUGAAAGGUUAAUUCCAUUAUUAUUAUUAUUAUUAUUAUUAUUAAAAAACUAACGAGAAGAGAAGAGAAGAUGAUACAGGAACAGGAAACGAUUCGAUCGACGAAAAAAAAAAAAAAAACAAACAAAAGCUGGAUUCGGGCGUGUUCGCUCGAUAUUCAGGCUAAUGAUAUUCGGUAUCGUCUGAACUGAAGUCACGCGAGCAAAACACACGGUCGAAGGACAAAGAGAUCGACUUUGAUUCUCCUCCUCGAAAAGGACGACUAACUUGCUGCCGCCAUCCUACCUUGUCAUUUCCCUAAUGAAAGUUGCCACCCAGGCCAAUCGCCUAAGAAACUUCAUUAACGUGCCACCAGAUAUCACGACCAUCUUCGUUUCCGUUUCACCCGGCCGCGUUAUUAUUUCCAUCUAUCUAUCCUCUACGGUUUCCAGUUCUCGCUUUCGUUAUUAUUCGGUCGACGAAGCGAAUAUCACGUCACGUAAACGUAACGAUAAAUUGUGCUUGGAAUCGAAAUAAGAGACAGGGAAAAAUCAUCGAUUAUCCGCGAUCCCUUUUGUCGUGGGCGACAGUGUCCGUUGGAAGAGGUUUGAACGAUAACGUUCGGUACAGGAUUAACACGAUGACGUUCGAGAUCCGCAAUUCGAUCGAGUUUCCGUUUCAAAACGCUUCCGUCGACGGAUCGCUUUAGCGACAAGGAAAUUAUCGUUUCCUUUCUCCGUCCAAAGUGCUCCGAGUAGUGUUUCGCUUCAACGAUAUCGAUUCCCUUUAAUCGAAUAGAAUUCUUUCUCGAUCCGAAACCGCUUCUGCGACAUCUUUCUCCCCCUCCCAAAUUUUAUUUUCCUUCGUUCGAAUUAUCGUAUCUCGAAUGAAAAAUUUUAUUAUUAUAUCCGAAUAAUAACAUGCAUAAUUAUGCAUAAUUAUAUAAAAUAGUCUAUACAUUAUGUAUAUAUAUAUAUAGAUUAUUGCAGAGAUUAUUAUUAAUAUAGAAGCGAUGAAAAAUGUUGUGGAAUCGGUUGGGAAUUGGAAAAAGUGUAAUCGAGAUAGAUGACGCUGUUAUGGUGGAUUUAUCGUGUAUACGAACUACUGGGUUGCUUGCUAUCGAGCGCACGUUUGUCCGAGCCGACAAGGGCAUCAUCCACUCGGGGCGCGGAAUGGAAAAGGGAGAGGGCGAGUCAUCGAUGUGUCACAAGUGUCUCUUUCGUGGAAGAAGCGUCAAUUCUGCAGAUUCGAUGUUGGGAUAUCAUCCCAAAUGCACUCGACUCGGUGACCUAGAGUAUCAACUAUUUUUAAAGCUUUUUUUUUUUCUUUCUUUCUUUCUCUCUCUCAUCCGUUUCGCGCAUCCGUUUCGUUCCUAAGCUUUGGCGACAAAAACACGCCAAACGGGGAUAACAAGCGAGCGAGACGCGUUUAACGAAUCGCGGGCUUAUGCUCUUUUCAAACGGAAAGAGAUGAGACGAUAGAGUUCGAUGAGCUUCACGUGUAAGAGUAAAAAUAUCUCGAGUACGAGUUUCGAGAAGAAACGGAUCACGUUAUAGCUACAACUGAUAUUCGAUUUUGAAUACUUUACUCGAUUGUAUUGUCGCGUACUUUCGUAAUUUACAGUUUUAAGCGAGUUUCCGAAUCGAGCAAUAUGCUUUUACGCAUAUAUAGCGAUUCGAACGAUAAACAGAGUUGAGCAUUGAACGAGUAAACUAGUUGAAAAUUUCGAAUAAAGUUGAUGUAAAUAAUCACUUGUUAAAAUGUUGGAAUAUUUAUUCGUAUAUAAAGCUAUAAAUCUCGAUCAUUACGAUUAUUAUUAUAUUUCGAACGAUCGAAAUUAUCGAAGUAAAAUUUUCCUCGUAAACUUCAACUAUUAAAUUUUGCUCAUCACUAUGCCACCAAGUUUUGGACAAAAUUUGAUCGAGCUUGUUUCGUUAUACACGUGUUGCGUCGCAUCAAUGGCCGUCCAUUUUUUUUGCACUACUUACGAAAUAGAUUCGAUAUAUCGAUUUAUUUUAAAUCGAUCGAUAGCGAUUUUUUCGAUCGUUCUUCGCUCUCGAUUGGUCGACUCUGUUUAUCGAGCGUACGCGUAUUACGAAUAGGGAAGGAUAAAAAAAAA
This is a long non-coding RNA of Apis mellifera (honey bee), 5081 nucleotides long. RefSeq lists it as uncharacterized. NCBI's taxonomy places the organism in Eukaryota, Metazoa, Arthropoda, Insecta, Hymenoptera, Apidae. The record is from RefSeq and is a predicted model, not a curated record. The transcript has 2 exons.